Strigops habroptila (Kakapo) is the source of this 1028-nucleotide long non-coding RNA. RefSeq lists it as uncharacterized. Lineage: Eukaryota; Metazoa; Chordata; Aves; Psittaciformes; Psittacidae. The record is from RefSeq and is a predicted model, not a curated record. The transcript has 4 exons.
CUCUGGUUUGGAGAUCUUUGUAAGCUGGUGAAGGAAAACAAUAAGCACAAAGCUUAGAAGUAACUCUUUUUCUUUCUACAAGUGAAUAGCUCCCUUAAAAGUAUUCUAGUGCAUAAGUAGGAGACUGCAAACACUGGGAAGGAAUAAAGCCAGAAGUUCUUCUCCACAAAAAGGAAAAGCUCCCGAACUCGUGCAAACAGAAGGAACCGGGGAAAAGAGGGAAUGCCUUAGACACAGGUGUGGUGUAUGUGAUGCUUGAAACUAAACUGUAAAAACCUGACUUCAGCAUGAAUGGGGACGGAGAAGAGAGAUGGCAGGACAUCGCUUGUCAUGCUUAUGCUAUUGAAAGCAAACAAUCAUCUGCCUGAAGUUUCCUUCAGAUGAAAACACAGGGGUUUCAGCCCUGCAGAUAUUAGCAUCUUGUUGGAGCCUGCCUUCAUUUUGGACCCCCCACUUUGAGACCAACUCAGAUACCAGCUUUGCUAAGAACCACAUUUCUAAGAUGAGACAACCACCCCCAACACAUUCCUACAUGGCAGCUGGAGUGGGACAUCCUAACAUACCAGGAUCUACCUGCACGGACCAGCAAUUGUAAGGCAACUAAGGGAAGGGUCAGAGCUGUUCCAACAAAUGUCACCAAUGUUUUCACAACAGGCAUCAUCCUAAAUUGCAGCUUAGGAAAAUGCUACCUCCAAGAGGGAAGGCAGGGGGUAAAAUGAGUAAAGUAUCUAUUGCUAUUUCUCUCCAAGAAAAAUAUGAUCUAUUUAACCCCAUACCCUGAAAGUAAAAGCAGAAUUUUUCCACCUCCCCUCUAAAUAAUUACGAUAUUUGCCAAUACAGUUUGUGAUCAAAUCAACAUGUCUAAACCAUGAAAACAUAACACACACACUUACCAAAGCUUGUUGUAGGCGUCUAGAUAUUCUGGUUUUACAUUGUGAACUGAAACAACAACAUUACGUGAGAAAUGCAGGAACAGAAUGAAGAAAUGGUAAUGUGAAAUAUAAAAGUAUCACUCACUCUGCAGUUUA